This is a long non-coding RNA of Mauremys reevesii (Reeves's turtle), 856 nucleotides long. RefSeq lists it as uncharacterized. NCBI's taxonomy places the organism in Eukaryota, Metazoa, Chordata, Testudines, Geoemydidae. The record is from RefSeq and is a predicted model, not a curated record. The transcript has 3 exons.
AACUCAAAUUUUCUCUGGUUGUCCUCUUUAUUAAAAAUAGUAUUUUGAAGUCUUUAGGCCAUUUGACGGAGCAUUCGUGAUCCUGAUCCAUACAUACAGAAUCUGUCUUCAUUAUAUGAAAAGGAUUAUAGACACAUCCUGACACACCCUAAUGCAGACAAACCCUUCAAUGGGAAAGUUUGGUGCAAAGAGCCUCCCUGAAUUCCAAGCAAUUCAGAUUCACAGCUGCCAUCUUACCUGCAAAGGCAGGACUUCUAGCUCAUUCCAGAACAGGGUGAGCUUUCCCACUGGCAUUCAUCCAGAGCAAGAGCUUCACUACUGUCAUGACAAAGGACAAAUCUACUAAUUAGGAUUUGUGAACAUGGCCUUUGACGUGUCACCUUGGACUAAAGAGGGGAGGAUAUUUAACUAGUCAUCUGGAAAGCCUUAGCAUCUUCAGAAGGAAAAGACCAUGAAGACCAUGUCAUUUUAAGAUUAAAGGUGAAAACCUGUCCCCACUAAAGUAGAUGGAAAGACUCUCAUUGUCUUCAGUGGGACUAGAAUUUCACCCUAGAUAUCAAACAGACAAAGAGAAACUGAGGACGUUUGGGGCCACAGGCUAUUAUCGCCUCAGAAUACUAUGAUCUGCAGUUAAGACCCACAAGUGUAUUGAAUGAUUCCAAGACUUGAGAGAUGGCACUCAAUUCCUACCGUGGGGAUCUGCAGAGAUUUCGCAUUCAGAGAACUCUAGCUAGAUUGUUGGUAAGUAGUUAUCCUUUCUCCAAGUGCCAGAAUAGCCUCUGCUGUAACACUUAUAAACUCUGAAUAGUGGUGAAUUGUUUUCCACUAGUACUGCAUUAAAGACAUUUUGAUGGAU